AGUCGGACGGCAGCGGGGUAGUGCUUGCACUACUGCCGGCGAGUGGCGAACGGGUGAGUAACAUAUCGGAACGUACCGAGCAGUGGGGGAUAACUAAUCGAAAGAUUAGCUAAUACCGCAUAUAUUCUAAGGAAGAAAGCAGGGGACCUUUGGGCCUUGCGCUGUUUGAGCGGCCGAUAUCUGAUUAGCUGGUUGGUGGGGUAAAGGCCUACCAAGGCGACGAUCAGUAGCGGGUCUGAGAGGAUGAUCCGCCACACUGGGACUGAGACACGGCCCAGACUCCUACGGGAGGCAGCAGUGGGGAAUUUUGGACAAUGGGGGCAACCCUGAUCCAGCCAUGCCGCGUGUCUGAAGAAGGCCUUCGGGUUGUAAAGGACUUUUGUCCGGGAAGAAAAGCGCGAUGUUAAUACCAUUGCGUGCUGACGGUACCGGAAGAAUAAGCACCGGCUAA
RNAcentral lists this ribosomal RNA (451 nucleotides) under Neisseria mucosa. Its description in RNAcentral is "bacterial SSU rRNA". It matches the Rfam family "Bacterial small subunit ribosomal RNA", at positions 60 to 500 of the family's 1533-position model. Lineage: Bacteria; Pseudomonadati; Pseudomonadota; Betaproteobacteria; Neisseriales; Neisseriaceae. The record is from RNAcentral.